This is a long non-coding RNA of Mus musculus (house mouse), 388 nucleotides long. RefSeq annotates it as predicted gene, 31417. The record is from RefSeq and is a predicted model, not a curated record. Lineage: Eukaryota; Metazoa; Chordata; Mammalia; Rodentia; Muridae. The transcript has 3 exons.
GCCAGUGAGUCAGCGAUUUUCAGCUAGAAUAAGCAAGAGAGUGUUAAGUCUCCAGAAGCCAUCAGCUUCCAGUCCCCAGUACAGUUAGAGAGAGUUAAAAGGCAGAAGAUGAUCGGUCUUUUGGCCUUCGUUCAAUGCUGUGGUCCGCUUCAGCUCUGGUCCCUUAAGUCCGGGCAGGUUUCCGGGCCUGAUCAGUUUCCUUCUUCAUUAUGACAAAAUGAAUCACGGUCUGCUGACAGCUAAAUUUUGAGAAAGAACAGGUGAUGAGUAUUUGAGUAGUUUCCAAGCCUGGCUACUUCAGACAUUCAUCAGGGCUCCAGGAAUGAGUCUCUUGUGGAAUCUGUGGGACAAAUAUACUUGGGAUUGCCUCAAGUGGUAGGUGACAAAG